This 1581-nucleotide ribosomal RNA is filed under the name Triticum aestivum (bread wheat). RNAcentral's name for it is "partial small subunit ribosomal RNA". The record is from RNAcentral. Lineage: Eukaryota; Viridiplantae; Streptophyta; Magnoliopsida; Poales; Poaceae.
AUGCGGCCGCCGGACAUGUAUGACCCUGGCGGCAGCUCCUUGUCCCGGCCGCACGGCAAGCAGGAGCUGCAGCCGGAGGUGGUUCUCUACACGGCGUCAGCUUCAGCGUCGCGCCGCAGAGCGCGCACCUCCGCCGACCGCUACGCCUUGUGCGCCCUGCUGCGCGGCUACGGCCUGGCCGUGGACGUGCGCGACGUGUCCAGGAGCAAAGCGCACCGCUGCGAGCUCAAGUCGUUGCUUGCGGCUCCGGGCUGCGCCUUCUCCCUCCCGCAGCUCCUCGUGGGCGGCCGGCUUGUCGGCGGCCCUGAGGAUGUUAGGCAGCUGCACCGGGCCGGCGGGCUGCGGCCACUCCUGGACGCCGCCCCAAGGCCAAGCCCGGCCUUGGUCUGCCAAGCCUGUAAGAGGGUCGGCUCCGAGCCGUGCCCAAAGUGCAGCGAGUCCCGCAACAAGAUGCUGGAUCACGGCAUUGUUGAGGAGGAGGAGGAGAGGGUUGUCCUUUUUCAUCCAACCCAAGAUGUUUCAGUAGGAGGUGCAGAUGGUGGAGAGGUCUCGUGGAGCAAUAUCAUUGGUGUGAUAGGUCAUGACCUCUUCAUGUAUUGCCUCCACCGCCUCUCCAGGUGGGAAUAUGGCGCCAUCGCCUCCCUCAACCGUGAUUUCAAUUCUGUGGUUCGCAACGGGGACAUCUACCGUCUGCGUCGCAAGAAUGGGGUCGCAGAGCACUGGAUCUACCUCUCUUGCGGUAAUAAUCGCCACGAGUGGGAGUCUUAUGACCCGUCCACUGGGCGCUGGAUCCAAGUGCCCAAGAUGCCACCGGCUGAAUGCUCUUACUGGGAGUCAUUUGCUGUAGGGACCGAGCUGCUGUUGUUUUGGGACGGAAGGGUUGCCUUGAGAUAUAGCAUCCUUACCAAUUCAUGGACAUGGCUGGCUGAUGUGAUGAACAUCCGGCGGCGCUGGUUUGGGUCAGCAAGUGUCGGUGAAAAGGCAUAUGUCACGGGAGGCGUUGAUUCUUCUGAAAGGAUAUUGAGCUCCGCUGAGAUGUAUGACUCGGAGAUACAUACUUGGACACCCCUUCCCAGCAUGAAUAGGGCUAGGUACAAAUGCUCUGGCGUGUUCAUGGAUGGCAAGUUCUAUGUCAUCGGUGGUAAUAGCAGUAGCCGCGAGCUAUUGACAUGCGGUGAGAAGUAUGACUUGAACCGGCGGUCAUGGAGGGUCAUCAACGACAUGUCUCAGGGGCUCAACGAGACAAGCUGUGGAGCUCCUCUGCUCCUUGCAGUUGUGAAAAAUGAGCUUUAUGCUGCUGAUUACUGCGAGAAUGAUUUGAAGCAGUAUGAUAAGCUGGACAACAAGUGGAUCACUCUUGGAAAAUUGCCUGUACAGUCUAAGGACAAAGAUGGCAGGGACAUGGGUUUCCGAGCGUGUGGUGACUGGCUGAUUGUUAUUGGACCUCCAAACAAUUCUACUGAUGAAAAGGUGGUUGAGAUUCAUUCAUGGAUCCCGAAUGAGCAACCGCCUGUGUGGAAUUUGAUUGCAACACGGCCAUACAAGGACUACGAGAUUAUAUGCGCCGUGAUGGGUUGCUGA